RNAcentral lists this ribosomal RNA (253 nucleotides) under uncultured bacterium. RNAcentral's name for it is "partial 16S ribosomal RNA". It matches the Rfam family "Bacterial small subunit ribosomal RNA", at positions 524 to 776 of the family's 1533-position model. The record is from RNAcentral.
UACAGCGGGUGCAAGCGUUAAUCGGAAUUACUGGGCGUAAAGCGCGCGUAGGUGGUUCAGUAAGUUGGAAGUGAAAUCCCCGGGCUCAACCUGGGAACUGCUUUCAAAACUGCUGAGCUAGAGUACGGUAGAGGGUGGUGGAAUUUCCUGUGUAGCGGUGAAAUGCGUAGAUAUAGGAAGGAACACCAGUGGCGAAGGCGACCACCUGGACUGAAACUGACACUGAGGUGCGAAAGCGUGGGGAGCAAACAGG